This 118-nucleotide ribosomal RNA is filed under the name Diaphorina citri (Asian citrus psyllid). Lineage: Eukaryota; Metazoa; Arthropoda; Insecta; Hemiptera; Psyllidae. The record is from RNAcentral.
GCCAGCGGCAUUAGCACGUUGAAUGCACCAGUUCCCAACGGAUCACUGAAAUUAAGCAACAUUACGCGUGGUAAGUACCUGGAUGGUGACCAUCUGGGGAAUCCGCGUGCUGCUGGGU